This 470-nucleotide ribosomal RNA is filed under the name uncultured bacterium. RNAcentral describes it as "partial 16S ribosomal RNA". It matches the Rfam family "Bacterial small subunit ribosomal RNA", at positions 28 to 507 of the family's 1533-position model. The record is from RNAcentral.
GACGAACGCUGGCGGCGUGCUUAACACAUGCAAGUCGAACGCUGAAGCACCAGCUUGCUGGUGUGGAUGAGUGGCGAACGGGUGAGUAAUACGUGAGUAACCUGCCCUUGACUCUGGGAUAAGCCCGGGAAACUGGGUCUAAUACUGGAUGCUACAUGUCACCGCAUGGUGGUGUGUGGAAAGGGUUUACUGGUCUUGGAUGGGCUCACGGCCUAUCAGCUUGUUGGUGAGGUAAUGGCUCACCAAGGCGACGACGGGUAGCCGGCCUGAGAGGGUGACCGGCCACACUGGGACUGAGACACGGCCCAGACUCCUACGGGAGGCAGCAGUGGGGAAUCUUGCACAAUGGGCGAAAGCCUGAUGCAGCGACGCCGCGUGAGGGAUGACGGCCUUCGGGUUGUAAACCUCUUUCAGCAGGGAAGAAGCCACAAGUGACAGUACCUGCAGAAGAAGCGCCGGCUAACUACGUG